This 746-nucleotide ribosomal RNA is filed under the name uncultured Parvimonas sp. Its description in RNAcentral is "bacterial SSU rRNA". It matches the Rfam family "Bacterial small subunit ribosomal RNA", at positions 28 to 776 of the family's 1533-position model. The record is from RNAcentral. Lineage: Bacteria; Bacillati; Bacillota; Tissierellia; Tissierellales; Peptoniphilaceae.
GACGAACGCUGGCGGCGUGCUUAACACAUGCAAGUCGAACGUGAUUUUUGUGGAAAGCCCUUCGGGGACGGAAAUGAAAUGAAAGUGGCGAACGGGUGAGUAACACGUGAGCAACCUACCUUACACAGGGGGAUAGCCGUUGGAAACGACGAUUAAUACCGCAUGAGACCACAAAGCCACAUGGCUUAGGGGUAAAAGAUUUAUCGGUGUAAGAUGGGCUCGCGUCUGAUUAGCUAGUUGGAAGGGUAAAGGCCUACCAAGGCAACAAUCAGUAGCCGGUCUGAGAGGAUGAACGGCCACAUUGGAACUGAGACACGGUCCAAACUCCUACGGGAGGCAGCAGUGGGGAAUAUUGCACAAUGGGGGGAACCCUGAUGCAGCGACGCCGCGUGAGCGAAGAAGGUUUUCGAAUCGUAAAGCUCUGUCCUAUGAGAAGAUAAUGACGGUAUCAUAGGAGGAAGCCCCGGCUAAAUACGUGCCAGCAGCCGCGGUAAUACGUAUGGGGCGAGCGUUGUCCGGAAUUAUUGGGCGUAAAGGGUACGUAGGCGGCCUUUUAAGUCAGGUGUGAAAGCGUGAGGCUUAACCUCAUUAAGCACUUGAAACUGGAAGGCUUGAGUGAAGGAGAGGAAAGUGGAAUUCCUAGUGUAGCGGUGAAAUGCGUAGAUAUUAGGAGGAAUACCGGUGGCGAAGGCGACUUUCUGGACUUUUACUGACGCUCAGGUACGAAAGCGUGGGGAGCAAACAGG